RNAcentral lists this unclassified non-coding RNA (1426 nucleotides) under Gigantopelta aegis. RNAcentral's name for it is "sodium- and chloride-dependent glycine transporter 2- like, transcript variant X3". Lineage: Eukaryota; Metazoa; Mollusca; Gastropoda; Neomphalida; Peltospiridae. The record is from RNAcentral.
CUACUACUGCUGCUGAUGAUAGAGGCGAUGGUAAUGGUUAUUACUAUUAUGAUGAUCAUAUAUGUUGCUUCUGAUGAUGAUGAAGCUUCUAAUGACCAUGUAUUUUCUCCUAAGAUACCUCUAUAUAAUCCCUUGCACCCUAAGAACCGCCCCCCCCCCCCCCCUCUCUAUCUCUCUCUCUCUCACUCUUACACACAAUGCAUCUCUCUAUAUGUGUCAUUAUUUCACUUCUAGGUCCUGGCCUGGCGUUUAUCGUGUACCCACAAUCCAUCUCUCUAUAUGUAUCAUCAUUUCACUUCUAGGUCCUGGCCAUGCGUUUAUCGUGUACACACAAUGCAUCUCUCUAUAUGUGUCAUUAUUUCACUUCUAGGUCCUGGCCUGGCGUUUAUCGUGUACCCACAAUCCAUCUCUCUAUAUGUAUCAUCAUUUCACUUCUAGGUCCUGGCCAUGCGUUUAUUGUGUACCCGCAAUCCAUCUCUCUAUAUGUACCAUCAUUUCACUUCUAGGUCCUGGUCUGGCGUUUAUCGUGUACCCACAAUCCAUCUCUCUAUAUGUAUCAUCAUUUCACUUCUAGGUCCUGGUCUGGCGUUUAUCGUGUACCCACAAUCCAUCUCUCUAUAUGUAUCAUCAUUUCACUUCCAGGUCCUGGUCUGGCGUUUAUCGUGUACCCACAAUCCAUCUCUCUAUAUGUAUCAUCAUUUCACUUCUAGGUCCUGGUCUGGCGUUUAUUGUGUACCCUCAAUCCAUCUCUCUAUAUGUAUCAUCAUUUCAUUUCUAGGACCUGGCCUGGCGUUUAUCGUGUACCCGGAAGCCAUCUCUCUAUAUGUAUCAUAAUUUCACUUCUAGGUCCUGGCCUGGCGUUUAUCGUGUACCCAGAAGCCAUCUCUCUGUUACCUCUUCCACAACUGUGGGCCGUCAUCUUCUUCCUGAUGCUCAUCACAGUAGGACUGGACACACAGUUUGGCUGUGUGGAAACCUUUAUGCACGCUCUUCUUGAUGGCUUUCCGCGCCUGCGAAAACACAGAUUGUUGGUGACGGCGGCCACAACGAGCAUGUUGUUUGCUUCAUCACUUAUUCUGGUAUCACAGGGUGGAGUGUACAUCUUUCAGCUGACAGACUGGUAUUUCUGUACCUUCUCUCUGUUAUUCAUAUCAUCGCUGGAAUGCCUUGCAGUUGGAUGGGGGCUAUGGUGCUAGACGUUUCGGAGACGACAUUAAGAUGAUGCUUGGGUGGAGACCUCCAGCUGUGUACAACAUCUUCUGUUUCGUCAUAGCACCCACAAUGCUGAUGAGAUUAAGACAGAUGUUGGAACCUGACACAACAUGGGGACCACGUCACGACACCGAGUUCAUGACGUACAGCAAAACGUCAACCUUUAAACGCCGGACAUUUCGAGAAAACGCGUGUGAUAUACUCAACAUUCGUG